Molecule: long non-coding RNA, 1178 nt
Organism: Asparagus officinalis (garden asparagus)
Lineage: Eukaryota; Viridiplantae; Streptophyta; Magnoliopsida; Asparagales; Asparagaceae
Exons: 7
Source: RefSeq, a predicted model, not a curated record
ACUCCGCUAAUUGACUUCGAACUCGUGACCGUACUUGGGAUUGAAAGAGGGGGCUUUUUUGCAAAAUGUCACCGAAAGCAUCUCUCUUAAAUCCCUCUCGUGACCACUCUCGUUAUCCCCAAAAUAAAAUCCCCAAAAUCAAAUCCCCAUCACCGACUUCCCCCAAAUCCAUCCCCGUCACCGCCGACCGCGACCCCAUCACCGCUGGCCGCGACAUCCCAAUCUUCGACCGCAACUCCGACGGACUCAUCUCCCCCUCGUUGUCGCCCCCCCAACUCCUCCACGACACCACCGUCGCCUGAGAACUCCGGACAACUUCGCCGCUGCGAGAUUGAACCGGCGCUGCAGGACUGUUGUUUACAAAGGACAACUGAAGCCAGUUCAGUUGAAGAAUUACUAUUAUGCUGAUCUUGGUGAUGAAAGGUUCACAAGUUAUAUGGCACUGGUAAAUACUCUUACAUUCUUCUUAAUGCACAGUCUGCAUUUAACAGCAAGCUGCUUGGAGAAGUCUCUCGUAGCAGAACAAAAAAUCCCGUUGCACUGUUCACUGUGGUCUGUACUUCAGGAAGCUUCCAAUACGGAGGUGGAAAGAGAAUAAUAUAUAGUAAGAUUAUUGAGUUGCUUUGCUCUUAUGCGGGUACACUCUAGGUUCUCAACAAAUACCUUUCCUAGCUGGGAUCGUGCUCAGCCCAUGCGCAUCUUGGGUCACAACGGAGAGAUUAACACACUUCGAGGCAAUGUUAACUGGAUGAAGGCGCGUGAGGGUCUUCUAAAGUGCAAAGAGCUGGGAUUGUCAAAGGAUGAGAUGAAGAAACUUUUACCCAUUGUUGAUGCUAGCUCUUCUGAUUCUGUGUCUUAUCUGUAGAAAAAGGAAAUGAAUCCCGCCUUAAGCGGAUGAUAUAUAACUUGAUCCCUGUAGAUGGGUCAAAAGUUGAGGAUGUGAAGAAGCCUGUCAAUCCAAUUUCCUUCCUCUUGCGUUUCAUUUUGGGUACCAACGCCGCAACCUACUAUGUCCUGGUGCCCAUUUACAUGUGGAUUAAGGAUCAGAUAUUCCCCAAGGGUAUGCCAAUAUGAAGAGAGCACUGGCAAAGCAAAGAGAGAUGACAUUUAUGUAUUCAUUCAGAACUAGUAGCGGCUUCUUUGUCCAGAUUUUUGUAUGAAAAUCUAUUAUGAUUCAA